UUGUACUCAAAGGGUGACAAUAUUUAUGGGAUCAUAAAGUGUCUCCAUGAGUCUCCUCUCUGAAUAAAGAUGUUUUUUUCAACGUUGGUGUAGAGCCCACACAGCCCAGAGAAUGUUUUUAUUCUAUAUGUGCAGUGGUGUCCUACAAUGACGUACUGUUCUUAUUCCAGGAAUUCUUUGAGUGGCUUCUCAAGAACUUGCCUACAUUUUCUCCGUGUGUGCAACCGCUCCUUGAGGGAAAAGUGCUUUCACAAAGAAAGCACAAACAGCUAUAUCGCCAGCUCCGGGCAGAAAUCACACUCUUUUUGGAGUGAGUUUUUUCUUCCUCAAUAACACUAAACCAUCCCUUGUGUCAUUCACCAGCUUUUUAUGGAAAAGCAAUUCUUUGCUUUCUGAUGCAGAAAUGAAAUGGGUGCUUCAGAACAAUAUUGUUGCUGAACUAUCUGCAGUGAGAAUGAUAUAAUCACCUGCAGUAACACUGCCCAAUGAUGUUGGAUGUAUAAGGCCCUUGAAGAUUCUCUUCUAAAGAUGUACCCACGCCUGAUGUGGGAUGAACUAAAGCCUGAAAGCCGGCUGCAGAAAACAAGAAGCCAGGUUUAUAGUGCGUUCAUAAGGAGGCUGUCAGCUGCAAGGAAUGUCCGGAAGCACCGGGCAAGAAAAAGUGCAGCUUUAGUUGUGUCGCCGGCACCCCGAGCAACUAUCACAAAUGAAAAUGCCAUUUCUGAACUACAGGCCCUAAGCUCCUCAAGUAUGACUGGUGCAUCACUUGACAUGGAAAGAAUAAGAACCCUACUCACGGUGACGCUCCCAGACCGCUGCAAUAGAUACAUGGACCCUCUCCCACAGUACUUUUUCGUAGAG
Molecule: long non-coding RNA, 861 nt
Filed under: Dermacentor andersoni
Lineage: Eukaryota; Metazoa; Arthropoda; Arachnida; Ixodida; Ixodidae
Description: uncharacterized LOC126548135
Source: RNAcentral